This 301-nucleotide ribosomal RNA is filed under the name uncultured bacterium. Its description in RNAcentral is "partial 16S ribosomal RNA". It matches the Rfam family "Bacterial small subunit ribosomal RNA", at positions 509 to 807 of the family's 1533-position model. The record is from RNAcentral.
CAGUCGCCGCGGGAAUACGAAGGUCCCGAGCGUUGUUCGGAAUCACUGGGCGUAAAGGGAGCGUAGGCGGCGUGGUAAGUCAGAUGUGAAAUCCCGGGGCUCAACCCCGGAACUGUAUCCGAUACUGCCGUGCUAGAGGAUUGGAGAGGUAGCUGGAAUUCUUGGUGUAGCAGUGAAAUGCGUGGAGAUCAAGAGGAACACUCGUGGCGAAAGCGAGCUACUGGACAAUAUCUGACGCUGAGGCUCGAAGGCCAGGGUAGCGAAAGGGAUUAGAGACCCCUGUAGUCCCUGUCUCUUAUAC